Oreochromis aureus is the source of this 1570-nucleotide long non-coding RNA. Lineage: Eukaryota; Metazoa; Chordata; Actinopteri; Cichliformes; Cichlidae. The record is from Ensembl.
UUUUCUCUCUUUGAUGAGUUCUCAGCCAGCUCCUGAUCUGAUAAUGUGUAGCUUGCUCAUCAGCUCAGAAGAGACCCAUACGCAACCUCACACAGUGGUUGCGUGCUUUGCCCACAGUGGCAAAGACUUGGAUAGUCGCACACAGUGACCACGCUUUAUCGCACACAGUGAUAAAGACUUACAUUUUCAUAUUCAACUCAGCUUCUCCAUCAUUAGGUUUUCAGCUGUUUCACACAGGGUUCAGCAUAACAGUUGUUUUCACAGGUGUGCUCUAUAUCUCACAAUGGCUCAUAUUAGGAUGACAGUUUUCAAACAGGUCAAGUGCCUCUAUGCACGUAAUUAGGUAAAAUAUUUAUCUAUUUUACUUCAUCUCAUAUGUCAUCAUACUGUAUUUGAGCAACCUUAAGCUUAAUGCAGAUUACUUCUAACAACUGGUUAAAGUAAUGGUCUGGAGCACAGGCCAUUGUUGAUCAGGGAAAUCAUCUAAACAUUUUGUGUCAGCAAGGAGUGGGGGAAAGCCAUUCACCAGAGCAUAGCUUAACUGCUGCUGAUGUGGACUGGCCUUCUCCACACGCUCUUCAAGGCUGCUGUUUUCCUGAAAACUUCUAACAUUUGAAUCUCAUCCGCGACCAGUUUACGCUCAUAACAAUUAUGAGAAUAUAAAUGGCUCGCGCUGCCGGGAGUAAAUUCUUGCAUGACUGUGUCAUCUCCCUGUGAGGCAGUCUUACUUGCUCGGGAACCCAUGAUAACAACAACCGUGUCACAGACCAUGCCUGCUCCGCAGUCAUUAACACAAACACAGCAACACUCUUCUGGGACCCUAACCCAGUCGCGCGACUCAAAACCCAGUGAAGGGACGCUCGGGACACAAACCCAGGGCGAUUUCAAAACCGGACACUCACCGGACGCUUGGGCCCUUGGGCGAUUUUACCAAAAACCUCUCUCGGGACCCUAACCCAGUUCUGGGACACUAACCCAGUCAACUCUUCCAACUUACUCGGCGUUGCUUAGCGUGUAAUAUCAGCCUCAGAUCCCGCCGAUCGUCAUUCGUCGGGGAGAGAAAACGGACAGCUAAUCCACCGGCCCGAUGACAAAUUCUCACGUCUCGCUGACGUCAGGGUUCUCUCCUCGGUGAAUGCCGACUCCAGGGAUCCGGCUCGAAGGACCAAUUAAUGAUAGGUUCUUGUGCUUAAACCUAUUCGCUGGAACGUUAAAGGCAAUGUAAUAACACAGCAAGCAAGACACGAAGUAGGCAAAGUUCUUUGGGUUACUCAUGCAUGAGGGAGGCCUGCCUGGAGUCAAGUGUCGUUCCACCUACUUGACCUCCAUCAGACUCUCAGCCAGGUUCCCCAUAGCACUCCUUUUAUUGAGGUUACUUGAAUAUGCAUAGGGUCAUUAACAUAUGAUGUAUACAUACACACAAAGGGUACCUUGCCUGUGGUUUUGCAAAGUGUGUGUGUGUGUGUGUGUGUGUGUGUGUGUGUGUGUGUGUGUGUGUGUGUGUGUGUGUGUGUGAAUUGCUAACCAAAAGGGUCACACAGCAGGAACAACAUCCUAGGUCAUAAAGAGG